This 327-nucleotide ribosomal RNA is filed under the name uncultured Porphyrobacter sp. RNAcentral describes it as "bacterial SSU rRNA". It matches the Rfam family "Bacterial small subunit ribosomal RNA", at positions 1052 to 1382 of the family's 1533-position model. Lineage: Bacteria; Pseudomonadati; Pseudomonadota; Alphaproteobacteria; Sphingomonadales; Erythrobacteraceae. The record is from RNAcentral.
UCGUCAGCUCGUGUCGUGAGAUGUUGGUUAAGUCCGCAACGAGCGCAACCCUCGUCCUUAGUUGUCCAUCAUUAAGUUGGGCACUUUAAGGAAACUGCCGGUGAUAAGCCGGAGGAAGGUGGGGAUGACGUCAAGUCCUCAUGGCCCCUACAGGCUGGGCUACACACGUGCUACAAUGGCAUCUACAGUGGGCAGCUAUUCCGCAAGGAUGCGCUAAUCUCCAAAAGAUGUCUCAGUUCGGAUUGUCCUCUGCAACUCGAGGGCAUGAAGGCGGAAUCGCUAGUAAUCGCGGAUCAGCAUGCCGCGGUGAAUACGUUCCCAGGCCUU